This 2128-nucleotide long non-coding RNA is filed under the name Monodelphis domestica (gray short-tailed opossum). Its description in RNAcentral is "lncRNA (ENSMODG00000035914.2)". Lineage: Eukaryota; Metazoa; Chordata; Mammalia; Didelphimorphia; Didelphidae. The record is from RNAcentral.
CCCUAUUCAGAGUGUCAUUUCCUCUCACCCAGGUGGCCCCUGUUCAUCUCCCAGGUGUGCCAGGUUGCCCUUGGCCCCCAGCCAGACAGUUGUUGGUAUUCACAGCCCCAGCAGCAACAGAGCUGUGGCGAAUUCUGAUCAGGGACCCCGCUUCUCACAACCACAGAAGCAAACCUUGCCUGGGCCCUGGAAUCUUGCCAACUUGGGCAAAUGUUUACGAAUCCUUCUCCAUGGAGCAGGAAUCCAGGCAAGGAAUCUGGCAAACAAAACAAACCAGUGAGCAUGAGGGAUGGGAGCAGACAGGGCAGCUGCCUUUGCUGCUUUUUCUUUCCUGAGACCUGCCCAUUUCCCCAAAAGUCUUCUGGGACCCUUAUCUGAGUUUUCUGCGCUCCCACUGCCUACUGCCCUUGGACCCAGCAUUUAGGGUGAGAUUUCUCUUGCACUAGUCUUCCUCAUCAUUACCGCCACCCUCAAGGACCCCCAUAGCAGAGUUCCGGACCACUGUCCCCAGGUCCAAGGUAGUAACCUUGCUAGGAAGGCAGUUGCAAGAUAGUUGGACUGCACGGAUCAAGUCUUUGCCUGAUGUCUUUGGUUUGAAGAGGCUAACCACAACCCUAAGACUGGACUGAUCUUGAGCCAGCAUUGUCCUUCCUUGCAUGACUAAGCCAUCUAUCAGAAUGUUUAUCACCAUUCUUUAUGGAGAUCAUGAAAAGAUCCUGUUUAAUUCUCACUGCAAAGUAGAGGUGCUGCUGAGCCAUAUCAAGCAGCGUUGUGGCUGUGAACCUGACGGAAUGGUUGAACUGGCAGACCACAGUGGUCAUUUGAAAAACCUUCUCCAAUACCCCCAACUCUAUGCUUCUGAGCUGCUGAAAUCUCGAGAAACUUAUAUUCCUAUCGCCAUAACACGAAAUGAAGGUUCACCAGAGCCAAUAUUUGUGCCACUAUUAAAGGAUCAUGAAAUUAUUGAUUCUAAGUUUUUAGGUUUGCUGAGUGCUUCAAAGAUGUAAUUUCAUGUAAACCUCACAACAGCCCUGGAAGAUAAGUGCUGAUCCCAUGUCUGAGGCUUGGCCUCAGGAAGAAGUAAAAAGAGAAAUCGAUGACAUAAGAAACAGAUUUGAAGCCUUACAUCUCUAUGUACUUUUUCUUGAACUUUUUCUUCAAGAAAAGAACCAGUAGGCAUGAAAUAUGGAAAGCAUAAAAAUGAUAUCAUAAAAGUAAAAAAUACUUAUAUCUAGAAGACAGGAAAAGAUUCAUUAUUUAUAUGGGUGUUAUCCUUGAAUCCACUGUGUAAAUUCAAACCACUAAUUUGUCAGAGCAAAGAUUAGUAUUGGGUUUUUUUGUUAAAAGAAAAAAUAGCAAUGAGAAACAAUUAUGCCAUACAUUUUAAACAACAGACUUAAGCUAUUUUUAAAAAGUAGUUGACAAUGGAAAAAAUGGGAAAUGUUUAUACUAAUUUUAUAUAGAAGUUUUAUCAUUAUAAAUUAAUGAGGAGAUUAAAAAGACAGCAACUAUUACAACCAAAGGCAACCCUGCUUUAGCAUAUAAAUUCAUUUGUAAAAUCUUGCCCAAAAAAAUGAUGGAUAUAAGAUGUAACACUUCAAAAAGCAAAGAAAGUCAGUGGAUGGUAAGAACCAGUUUAAAGAAACCUUGAGAAAAGACCCAACUAAACAAAGUCAUCCCAAGUACAUUUAAAGAGGAAAUAGGACAACAAAGAGACAGAAAAGUGGGAAAGAUCUGCAAAGAUUUUUUUAAUGUUUUCACCAUCAAUAAUAACACUAGAGCUUCUACACUUAAACUUCAAAAUCAUACUCUUUGAUGUGCUUUUAAGUGAGAUCAAAAUGGCACUAAUAGAAACAAAGAUGUGAAAAGAAGUCAAGUUAUUUGUUUAAAAGGCAUAAAUUGGGGGCAUCUGGGUACCUCAGUGGAUUGAGUCAGGCUUAGAGAUGGGAGGUCCUGGGUUCAAAUCUGACCUCAGACACUUCCCAGCUAUGUGACCCUGGGCAAGUCACUUGACCCCCAUUACCUAGCCCUUACCACUCUUCUGCCUUGGAACCAAUACACAGUAUUGACUCCAAGAUGGAAGGUAAGGGUUUUAAAAAAUAAAAGGGAUAAAUCUCUGAGAGGGACA